UUGUGAUUAAUCACUAUGCUUUAAUUAUGUUCAAUUUGUAACAAUGAAAUUGGGGGUCACCACAACAUGAGGAACUGUAUUAAAGGGUCGCGGCAUUAGGAAGGUUGAGAACCACUGAUCUAGCACAUUUCAUCUGGGAUGUAGACCCAGCCUUCUUUCUCACCACCAGCUCUGAAACAUCAUUACCGUGGUCUGAGUUCUGUAGCUUAGUGUUAAAGUGAAACAUCAGCAGAUUUCUAAUACAUUUUUUUAGAGAAAGAUGAUUUUAUCUCCUGGUUGGAAUGAGUAUCUUUCAGAACCAAGUAUUACUCAUCCAGAAAGAACAAUUAGAGCUUAUUUGUAUGGUCACGUUGUUUAAAAUUGACCAUUUUUCUCUCAUGAAGUGCUUUUAAGUGCAUUCAUUACUUUCCCCAUUUUACAGAUGAGGACACUGAACCUUAGAGAGGCCACUCAGCUGCCAAGUGACAGCCCAGAUUUACUAUGAUCCGACUUCUUUUCAAACCUUGUGAAUAGAAAAAGGAUUGCUUAUGAGUUGGCAUGAAAAAAGUCACCCCUCCCUGACCUGCCAAAAGACCAUUGGUUUGUCCGACUCAUCUCUCCCUGUGACUUGGAAUUUUCUCAUGUGCACACUGGAGGUGAUGUUCUCUCUUCCCAAUAGUUCCAAAAAGGAGGGACUUCAAUUAUGAAAGGGUUCUUGACUGUUCUAGUGCAGUGCAUCAAAUCUGCUGUUGCAAGGUGAAUUGCAUAAGGAAAGAAAAAAAUUAGAAAAACACUGAAUUACAGGACACAAGGAGAAAACAGCCAUCUGCAACUCAGAAGAAGACCCUCACCAGAACCCCACCAUGCUGGCACCCUGAGCUCAGACUUCCAGCCUCCAGAACGCUGAGAAGUUCCUGUUGCUGCUGAAAAUGCAUACCUUCUUGACAACCGGGAAGGCAGCCUCUGAACCUAGCAUUCUUGGAUUCCCUGGAGCAUAGAGGAGCCGGCUCCCAGCUGGAGCCUGUCCACUGCCCUUCCCACCAGCCCGCACCGGAGGAGACCUACGUGCACGUGUGAGGACACCCAACCUGCAUGCCAAGCUCCAAACAUACUCCAAACCCUUAUUAUUAUUAUUUUUUUUUAGAAAGACCUAAAGAAGAGGCCUGCACAGGCCCUCUAGGUGAACAUGAAACAUUCCAAGGUCCAGCGUACCCAGAAUUUCGUGGUGAGCAAAAUGCUGACAGCCAGUGCGGGAGUCUCUCACAGGACCUUAAAGGGUCCCAGAAGCUUAAUCUUCAUUGAAUUCAAGGGACAAAGUUCUUCAGGCUCUGUGGAUCACUGCCUAGAGCACAAAGGACUGUCUCGCUUAGAAAGUACUUUAUUCACCACUACUUCCACAAGGACCAUCUAGGUUUCUGAAAUUCAAACAGCUGAUUUGAAUAUACUUUGUUGCGGAAGUGGGGCCUCUCUGACCACCAGGGCAUUGAUUGGUAAG
This is a long non-coding RNA of Myotis lucifugus (little brown bat), 1474 nucleotides long. RefSeq lists it as uncharacterized. Lineage: Eukaryota; Metazoa; Chordata; Mammalia; Chiroptera; Vespertilionidae. The transcript has 8 exons. The record is from RefSeq and is a predicted model, not a curated record.